RNAcentral lists this ribosomal RNA (467 nucleotides) under uncultured bacterium. Its description in RNAcentral is "partial 16S ribosomal RNA". It matches the Rfam family "Bacterial small subunit ribosomal RNA", at positions 28 to 507 of the family's 1533-position model. The record is from RNAcentral.
GAUGAACGCUGGCGGCGUGCUUAACACAUGCAAGUCGAAGGGAAAGGCCCAAGCUUGCUUGGGUACUCGAGUGGCGAACGGGUGAGUAACACGUGGGUGAUCUGCCCUGCACUUCGGGAUAAGCCUGGGAAACUGGGUCUAAUACCGGAUAGGACCACUUCUUGGAUGUUGUGGUGGAAAGUUUUUUCGGUGUGGGAUGAGCUCGCGGCCUAUCGGCUGGUUGGUGGGGUAAUGGCCUACCAAGGCGUCGACGGGUAGCCGGCCUGAGAGGGUGUACGGUCCCAUUUGGACUAAGAUACGGCCCAGACGCCUACGGGAGGCAGCGGUGGGGAAUAUUGCGCAACGAGCGCAAGCCAGAUGCAACGACGCCGCGUGGGGGAUGACCGCCUUCGGGUUGUGAACUCCUUUCGCUAGGGACGAAGCGUUUUGUGACGGUACCUGGAGAAGAAGCACCGGCUAACUACGUG